Molecule: microRNA precursor, 78 nt
Organism: Anolis carolinensis (green anole)
Lineage: Eukaryota; Metazoa; Chordata; Lepidosauria; Squamata; Anolidae
Source: Ensembl
CCAAGCUGACCAUGAACCUCUGUCUAAGCUCAUGGCCUUUGUGAUAUUAACUUGGACAGAGCUAAAUGGCCAGCUAGG